GCGUUCCGACGUCGUGCCCAUGACCGCAGAGAAUUUUCUCUACCUGUGCACCCAUUUAAAGGACUCGGCUUCAAGGGAAGCAGCUUCCACCGCAUUAUCCCCCAGUUCAUGUGCCAGGGCAGUGAUUUCACAAACCACGGUGGCACCAGGGGUCUGCCAGGCAUGGCACUAAGUGUCCCAUGGCACAUUUGGCCCUCAUGGAGGCCUCAAAAGGGCAGGACCAGCACGCUCUUCUACGGAGGAAGGAACGGGCACAGCAGAAACAAGGAGAGUCAGCAAUUACCAGCCAGCCGAGGUCCUGGAAGCUGACGUAGAGCUCGUGCCGACGGCAGACCUGCCGGCCGUGGGAGCCGUGGACGUCAUCUGCAGGGACAGAAGGGGCAAGGUCUUUUCUGGGGUUCCUGCUGUGUGCAGCUACUAUGGGGUACCAGGGUGGGGGAUGCCCUGAUGAGCACAUUUGUCAAAUAAAUGAAUGACAGGAAACCA
RNAcentral lists this non-coding RNA (486 nucleotides) under Pan troglodytes (chimpanzee). Lineage: Eukaryota; Metazoa; Chordata; Mammalia; Primates; Hominidae. The record is from RNAcentral.